GGAAUAGCCUCGGGAAACUGAGAGUAAUACCGUAUAAGCCCUUCGGGGGAAAGAUUUAUCGGGAAAGGAUUGGCCCGCGUUAGAUUAGAUAGUUGGUGGGGUAAUGGCCUACCAAGUCUACGAUCUAUAGCUGGUUUUAGAGGAUGAUCAGCAACACUGGGACUGAGACACGGCCCAGACUCCUACGGGAGGCAGCAGUGGGGAAUCUUAGACAAUGGGCGAAAGCCUGAUCUAGCCAUGCCGCGUGAGUGAUGAAGGUCUUAGGAUCGUAAAGCUCUUUCGCUAGGGAUGAUAAUGACAGUACCUAGUAAAGAAGCCCCGGCUAACUCCGUGCCAGCAGCCGCGGUAAUACGGAGGGGGCUAGCGUUGUUCGGAAUUACUGGGCGUAAAGCGUACGUAGGCGGAUCAGAAAGUAUGGGGUGAAAUCCCAGGGCUCAACCCUGGAACUGCCUCAUAAACUCCUGGUCUUGAGUUCGAGAGAGGUGAGUGGAAUUGCGAGUGUAGAGGUGAAAUUCGUAGAUAUUCGCAGGAACACCAGUGGCGAAGGCGGCUCACUGGCUCGAUACUGACGCUGAGGUACGAAAGUGUGGGGAGCAAACAGGAUUAGAUACCCUGGUAGUCCACACCGUAAACGAUGAAUGCCAGACGUCGGGCAGUAUACUGUUCGGUGUCACACCUAACGGAUUAAGCAUCC
This 694-nucleotide ribosomal RNA is filed under the name uncultured Sulfitobacter sp. RNAcentral's name for it is "bacterial SSU rRNA". It matches the Rfam family "Bacterial small subunit ribosomal RNA", at positions 140 to 869 of the family's 1533-position model. The record is from RNAcentral. Lineage: Bacteria; Pseudomonadati; Pseudomonadota; Alphaproteobacteria; Rhodobacterales; Roseobacteraceae.